UAAUUUUCCCAAUCUCUAACCCUAACAACUGCAACCUCACCUUCCUUCACGUAACAAACACAUAAACACGUAGAGGUAGAAAUGAAUGAUGGAGAUCUGAGAUCCAGAGAGUGAGGGAGGCGUGAGGAAGAAGAGAAGGAGAAGGGUGUGGCGUCGCCAGCUGGGUACCGCCGCCGUUCAACUCGUCGUCACGCCGUUCACGUCAAGCUUGUUCCAUCACCAUGUCGCGAAGGAGGGAUUGCUGCCCGGGGUCGCGCCGUUGGUGGAGCUUGCCGCCGUCGCCGUUCAAGCUACUUCUGCCGCCACACUCCACGCCGUUGCCAUCGUCAUUCAUGGAGGAAGAGGAAGCAAGUGCGCCAGAGGAGAGCGAGAAAGACUGAAGCUGCGGGGGAGAGGAAGUGACGCACGAAGCUGCCGCAGGAACUGCGAGCCAGAAGAGCCACUGACGUUGCCAUUGUGGCCAUCGCCAUCGCCGUGAGUGAGGUCCGCCGCUGGUACUAAUCGAGACUGCCGAAGUUGCUGUUUUGACUCUGAUGUAAUUCAUCCUUGUCCCUACUCACGGUUGUCCUCUGUUCUUCCUCUGCUUUUGAUUUUCGCAGUUACCUAAAUCUCUGCUGCCGUGGGUAUUGCCGUAGGAGUCGUUGGGAACUAAUGUUGGAGCUGCCCUUGAUGAUUUUGAUGCUACUACGUAGGUUCGGAGCUGCUGUGUUGUUGCCGGAGGAAUGGAACUCAUAAAAAAAAAUGUUAUUGAGGCUGAUGUUUGGUUUGAUUGCGUUGUUAAUGCGACAUUGAGUGACACAGGUUUGAAGAUGCAAUAUGAAGCUGCAAGCGAUUAGUAGGCUUUCUUUAUGGUUUUAAUUGCUUUCAUAGAGUCCCCUCUCUCUUGUCCUUUGAGGUUUUAUUUUAACAGAGGGGUAGGUGUUGUAUUUGGGUUUAUAUGACUUCUUAUGUAUAAGAAUUACUAUUAAUAAUA
Molecule: non-coding RNA, 973 nt
Organism: Arachis ipaensis
Lineage: Eukaryota; Viridiplantae; Streptophyta; Magnoliopsida; Fabales; Fabaceae
Source: RefSeq, a predicted model, not a curated record